UGCAGGUCAGUGAAGUGAAGAGAUUAGAAAGAAUGGAGGUUGAAGAUGAUGGGGGAGAAAGUGCUGGUAAAUCACAGUAAGUAAAACAAUUGCUUUCUGGAACUAAAUUACCACUUGCCAAUAAUAUUAGUUACUUGCUUACAUUCGAUUACCAGUUGGCAUUUCUGUAUGUGCAUAAGAUAUUCUUAUCAUCAAUUAAGUACUUUUAUUUUAAAUGGGCCCCUUAUAUACACGCAUAUGUACAUUAGGUUCUUUGAAUAUAUUCGAGGAGAUAGCCAUUUAAUGAUUAGGAUGCUCUGUUCCUUUCUCCCUUUUCCCUGUUUUUCUUAUUCUCAACCCUCCAUUUGGGUUUGCCUCUUGAGGACACAAACUGUCACAUCCCAUUAGCUGCCAUGAAUUAUCAUCUUCCCACCCUCCUCCUGAGUUUUAAAACAAAUCAAUGAGAAGUUUUAAUAGAAUUUACAGAGAAGAUAAUAUAGUAGAAGCUUGAAAAAUAAUCCCAAGAUUUGUGUUUGGCGUUACUGGUACGAGUUAUAUGAUAUUUGUUUGGUGAUAAAUGGAGCAUGAAUGACAAGGGGUGAUUUUGAUUUUGACCAGAUACCCUGAAUGGCAUGCAGCUGGCAUGGAACCACUGGUAGUUUGAUUCAUACCAAACAACAGAAGGGCGAUGGCGAUGUACUUGAAGAGAUUGGUAGAUGGGACCAUCCGGGUGCUCUGGAAUUACCCUCGAUUAACUCGAAAUUGGGACGUAUGGCGAAAGAAACUAACAUUCUUUAAAACUGAUGGCAUAUAAUAAAGACAGCAGAGAAUCAUAUAUGACAAAACCAGAAAUUGGAAGUAAACGGAAAGCAAUUAUUAAUGCAAAUCCAAAAUAGAAAUAUACCCGAUAGAAGGAAAAGGGGAAAGAGCAUAGAAGGUUUCUGGGGUAAGGAUGUCCAGUAAUACAUGGCAGCAUUUUCAAAAGGAGGAUUCCCAUGGCGGUGGGUGUUUUGGAGAGAGAUAAAGAUAACUAAUUGUUAAUUUGAGACAUUAAAAAGAAGAAAGUGAUUUUGGUAUUGUUGUGGUCGUGGAGAGUAAAAGAUAAAAAGUGAUUUAAGGUUUAGGGUAUACCCCCACCCAUGUGCUGUCCCUAUUUAUUCCCUUUCAUCUCCAUCUCCAUUUUAUUUUUUUGUGGGAGAAGAGAAGAUGAUGUAGGGUAGGGGUAGGGUUUUCAGUCGUUUUUAGUAAAGAAGAAGAAGAAGAAGUGGGCAUUGUCAUGGAUCCCACAACAUUGAGAGUUGAGAGUGUUUGUUAUGAAACAUUAAUUGCUGAUAAUGUGGACAUCCACUGGGCUGCUGACGCUGAUGAAAAGCCCUCUUGAGGGCUGUUGUUUCUGGGGGGGGACUCUUUUCAACCACCACUAAUUUUGAAAUCUGAAUUAU
RNAcentral lists this long non-coding RNA (1421 nucleotides) under Carica papaya (papaya). RNAcentral describes it as "long non-coding RNA (CPAP_LNC009931)". The record is from RNAcentral. Lineage: Eukaryota; Viridiplantae; Streptophyta; Magnoliopsida; Brassicales; Caricaceae.